CCCCAAAGCAGAAUACCUGAUUAGCUGUGAUAAUUGUAGGAGGUUGAGCAAGUAAGUGCGUCAGUUAGAAGCUCAAAGUACAUUGAAAAAGUGUAUUUUGUUGUGUGUAUGCAUCAAGUUGCAUGCCAUUCCGUCCCUCAG
Non-coding RNA from Caenorhabditis elegans, 141 nucleotides. Lineage: Eukaryota; Metazoa; Nematoda; Chromadorea; Rhabditida; Rhabditidae. The record is from Ensembl.